RNAcentral lists this long non-coding RNA (5520 nucleotides) under Ananas comosus (pineapple). RNAcentral's name for it is "long non-coding RNA (ACOM_LNC002574)". Lineage: Eukaryota; Viridiplantae; Streptophyta; Magnoliopsida; Poales; Bromeliaceae. The record is from RNAcentral.
GCUAAUAAGCUUCCUUAAUUCAAACAACAAAAUUGAAGCCCAAUUUGAUUUUCCAGAUCCAUUGUACCUUAAAUUUCUUCAAAUUGCUGUUGAUUGCCUUCAGAGGUUCCAUUAGGUCAUCCAGAACAGCAGUAGUGUGCAAAUCAUCAGACAUAGAAGCUGUGAAAUUGGUGGGGAACUUAUUGACCAGUUCUCUGAUAUCAUCUGGAAUCUGACCUUUGAUAUUUCCUUCACGAAAUGGGGAUAGAGCCUUUUCACAGUCAUGUAUAGUCUACAUGUGGGGAAAAUAAACAAAGAAUUAACUCUUAUAUCCUGUAAAGCAUUUAAAAGCUCGAGCUACUAUAUGUUUGGUCUCAAACAGCUUCUUUACUCCAAAAAUGAAGUAGCAAAAGUAUUUAGCAAGCAAAAUGUCUUGAAUUAUUGCCCAAGUGGGAGCGCAAAUGAGACCCAAAAAAAACAUGCUCCAACUUGAAGCUUCUACAUAUGCUGAAUUCAGAAACUACUGAAUGGGCUUUUAAGGGAAGAACUGUUAGCGUAGCUCCAAACAGCUCUACCCAAACAAUACCUCCUAGAAAGCUCAAGCCAACUCAAAGAUGACCUUAACUUGUUUCUCCAGACAAGUAACACACCUGAUAUAUGUAGAAGACACGAUCCGAUGCAGUGUCAAGCUGUCUAUCAGAGUAAUUCACAUCUGCCCGGUAGUGUGUGCGCAUUAAGAAGAACCUUAACGCUAAAGGAUGAUAUUUCUCAAUUAUCUGCAUUCGAGAAAAUAGAAUUUUAUGCCUCAGAUAGAAAUCUUACGGUGUUAAAUUGAUGGGACAUACAAAAGUGUUAAGUUGUUAUGACCGCUUACAUCUCGGAUUGUGAAGAAGUUAUUGUCUGACUUGGACAUUUUCUGAUUAUCCCGGUUGACGAAGCCAUUAUGCAUCCAAUAGUUCACGUUGCUUUCUGGACAAGCAGCUCGACUCUGCGCGAGCUCGUUUUCAUGGUGAGGGAAGAUCAAAUCCUUUCCCCCACCAUGAAUAUCGAAAGCAUGGCCUAAAUAAUGAGAACUCAUGGCACUGCAUUCAAUAUGCCACCCUGGUCGCCCUGGGCCCCAUGGACUUUCCCAACUUGGCUCACCAGGCUUAGCAGACUGAAAGUUAAAUUAAAAAAAUUAAAAAAGGAUAUUAUAUAUAUAUAUAUAUAGAUAGCAUAACGGAUAAGGUAAAAUGUAUGGGAGAUCCGUGUACUGUCCUGUUAUUGCUAUUUAACCCCUAGACUCUUCACUUUAACACUUUAGUCCCUCAACUUUCUCAUAUAUUGUAGUCCAUCGCUAACCGGCCAAAAAAAAAAAAAAUCUAUGUAUUUCCUGUAAAAUGACUUCCUUGAUUCGAUACUUUGGAACAGGGUCAAAAAUGUUAUUUGUUGGAAAAUGUCACAUGUUGUGAAAAUCUUUUUCACGGUCAUAGAUUGAAUUAAAAACAAUGAGAAAGAUUAGGGGCAAAUGCCCAAGUGAAAAAUCCAGAAAACAGUUAGAAUACCAGAACAGUACAUAAUUGCUGAUAAAUAAUACAGAGUCUAAAAGGACAUAUGCUGAAAGUUAAACAUGAGCUCCCCACCUUCCAUAAUGCAAAGUCUGCGGGAUUCCGCUUUCUCAGAUCAACAGAGGCUCGUCCACCUCCACCUGCAAGAUUGUCAUCUAACUUCCGUCCGGACAAACGGCAAUAAUCGGGAAAACUAUCAACAGAAAAGUAAACAUCUCCCUCAAGAGUGUAGGCAUGGCCAUUAUCAAUUAUCUGUAAGCACAAGAACAUGAAAUUUUCAUCAGAAAACAAAACAAAAGCAAUAAGAAGAAAAAAGAUCUAGUAAAUCAAAGAUUGAGAGAAGAUCAAUAUGACGGAACAGUAAUGAAGCACCAUGUGAUUUUUUGCAUCACAGGGAACUGAGGGAACAAAAUUUGCAUCACCACUUCAAUAAAAAUAUAUAUAUAAAUAUUCAAUGCUCGGCAAGGAACUACCUUUGCUAUCAUAUCCUUUAUCUGUUCUAUAUGAUCUGUCACACGUGGUUCAUGAGUUGGAGGCAAGCAUUGAAGGACAGCCAUAUCAUCCAAGAAUUCUUUGCUAAAUCGGCUACUUAAACUUAAUGGAUCCUCCCCAGCUUCAUUUGCUCGUUUGAUGAUCUACAAAAUGAGCAGAAGUUUUACUUAGUUCUUGUAUUAGUACAAAAGCAAGCUACCACAGCAUAUACCCACUUCAAGCUAGAAUACCUGGAAGCAUACUCAGCUAGUCAUGUGACUAACAACAUUUAAAAGCACAGCAUGCAAGCCUUGAUAGCAAAAGCCUCCUCUAGGUGAAAAAGUAAAUACAUGCUAUUUCAUUCUAAUUUAAAACUUACUAACCUUGUCAUCAAUAUCAGUGAAGUUGCGCACGUACUUAAUUUCAUAUCCCAAAUGCUUCAAGUAUCUGUAAUCAAGGAACCAAUAGAUCCAAAUUACACAAUCUUACAUCACAAAAUUUAUGUCCAUAUAUACAAAAAUAAUUGCCAAUCUAGAUAAAUGACUUGGAAAAUAAUUAGCAUGCCCAAAAGGUAAUUUUGCAAUAUAUGAAUAAAGUCCUCAAAUUACUCAAAAUCGUUCCAUUGUGUAAAAUGCUUUCAGAGUGAAGAUGAUGAAGAAUAUCUCAUCUAUCUAAUUCUUCAAAACAUUAAGCUAUGCUGCGGAAGAUCGCUUACUUCAAUAUCCACCAACUCAUCUUUACACUCUUUAACUCAACACUGAGUGCAAAUUUUCCACCAAAAAUUCAAAAUUUUAGUGCUGAGUGCAAAUUUCCCACCAAUUUUUCAAAAUUUUAAUGCUUCUCAAACCAAGAACUAAACAAAACACUCCUUAACUUCCGUUCGGUGAGUUACCUCAGAUGCAUUAAAUCUACUUUAACCAUAGAUUACUCCAAAUUAGCAGGCGAUAAGCACUAAUUCGCCAAAAUUCAUACUACAAACAACCUCUACAACUCCUACUACUACUACAGCAAUCAUAGUCACAGCAAAACCACUCUCGGAUCCGAAACAAGGCGAAGAGGAAGGACGAGGGGAAGAAGGGACCUGUGGAGCACGUCGAAGGCGACGUAGGCGCGGGCGUGGCCGAUGUGGCUGAGAUCGUAGGGGGUGACGCCGCAAACGUACAUGGAGACCUUCCCGUCGACUAUCGGCUUGAAGGGCUCCUUCUGCUUCGACAUGGAGUUGAAGAGGGCGAGCUCCGGAUCCCCCAUCUCCGGCCCUUCCUCCCACCCCCGGCUCCUCUCGAAACCCUAGACUCAAACCCUAAUCGAGAGGCGCGGACGCCGCGGAGGAGGAAGAAGAUGAAGCUAGUGCAACGCGAUCGGUUAAUUUUUUGGGCACGAUUUUGUGGGAAUUUAUUUUCUCUUUUUUUUAUUAAGGUGAAAUGUAUGAAAGCCCCUUUAACUUUGGGUUAUUUUGAAAUUGACCCCUCAACCUUCCUUUUCACCUUUUUUUUAAACCUUUUUAAACCGAAUCAAAUUGAAAUUUAUAGAUGAACUGAACGAAUCUGAAUCGAAAUAGUUCGGUGGAAUAAUUGUAAUAGUUAAACUCUUUAAAGCAUUUAAUUACAUUUAAAGAUGGGAAAACUUCAAAAACCCCCCUUAUGGUCUCAAUUUUUUUCACUUUAGUACCAUGUGGUUUAAAAUGUAUCAAGUUAGUACAUUGUGGUUUCUCACUUUAUCACUUUAGUACCCUGUGGUUUAAAGUGUAUCAAGUUGGUACCCUGUGGUUUUGCAUUUUAUCACUUUAGUAUCCUGUGGUUUUGAUUUUGUAUCAAAUUAGUACCCUGUGAUUUUUUAAACUAUAGGGUACUAAAGUGAUAAAGUGUGAAACCACAGAGUACUAAAGUGAUAAAGUGCAAAACCACAGGAUACUAACUUGAUACACUUUAAANCUGUGAUUUUUUAAACUAUAGGGUACUAAAGUGAUAAAGUGUGAAACCACAGAGUACUAAAGUGAUAAAGUGCAAAACCACAGGGUACUAACUUGAUACACUUUAAACCACAGGGUACUAAAGUGAUAAAGUGAGAAACCACAUGGUACUAACUUGAUACACUUUAAACCACAGGGUACUAAAAUAAAAAAGUGUGGAACCACAUAGGGGGUUUUUGAAGUUUUUCCUUUAAAGAUUAAUGCAAAAAUAUGUAAAUAUGGUUUAUUCAUUAAAAAAAUUUAAUUGAUUAACGCGAACCGAACCGCAUAGGACAUUCCGGUUCGAGUCAAUCGGUUAGGUUGAUUUUAGGCUCAGAGAGACAAGAAAAAGGAAAUUUGAACUAUUGAUUUCCGAAGUUUUAUAAAAAAGGUUAUUUUGAUUUUAAAAAUUUUAAAACUAAAUUUAAUGCCUCUUAAUCUUAGUAAGCAUAUAUAUAUUCAGUUUCAUGGGGAAAAAAAUAAAAAAAUAAAAAAAUGGGUUUGGGGAUUUAAACUGAAAAGGAGGGGUUACGAUCUCAAUCCAACUGAACUAGGCAUUAUACAUUGUAACUAUUUAAUUAAUACAAUGUAUUGAAAACAAGCUUUUAUGAGUCCAAUUAAUGAAAAAAAAUUAUUAGGUUACCAAUUCACAUAAUUGAGCCGAAAAAGUAACACCUACGUAAUUAUAGCUUUUGUUGAAUCCGUCAAAUAAAUUUUUUAACAAAAAUAUAAUAUAAAACAGAAUCUAUCAAAUGAAUACUAAAUCUUCUUAGAUGUGCUAGCACAUAACAUCCCAAAAGAAAAAAACUAUAUUUUUCAAAAAUGCUGGUAGGUUAUGCCCACAGCAAAAGUACCUUCCAACUGGUCUAAACAGUGGUAUAUUUACGAUAACAACUCCGGCUGGAAUUGGUUCAAACUUGUGCAAAUCACAAGAAGUUUGUUCUAUGUAUUAAAAAUAAGGGGCAAUUGCUUAUAUAUUCCUAAAAAAUUUUCGACUUUCUAAUUUACUCUUUUUAGAAAGCUAAUAUUAAAAAUAUUUUUUUACGUUCCAACUUAUAUCAAAUAUACCCAUAGAGUUAAAUUUUUAACAAUAAGGGCUUGUUUGGUUCAAGGUGGAAUUGGAAUGAAUAAUGGAAUGAGAAUGAAUUGGAAUGGUAAUUGGAAUGGCCCACUCCCCUAAGACGUUUGGUUUAUUUGUGGAUUGGGAAUUGGAAUGAGUUAUUCACAUUUCAUUAUUUGGUUCGUAUAAACUAAAAAAAUUAUAGGAUACUAUAAUUCUAAUUUUACUCUCAAAUAUAAAUUUAUAUUAUUUAAAAUUUAUAAAAAAUAUAAUACUAUUCUCUAAUAAGUUUUCCAAAAAAAAUAUCAAAUUUNAUUGUACCUUAAAUUUCUUCAAAUUGCUGUUGAUUGCCUUCAGAGGUUCCAUUAGGUCAUCCAGAACAGCAGUAGUGUGCAAAUCAUCAGACAUAGAAGCUGUGAAAUUGGUGGGGAACUUAUUGACCAGUUCUCUGAUAUCAUCUGGAAUCUGACCUUUGAUAUUUCCUUCACGAAAUGGGGAUAGAGCCUUUUCACAGU